Molecule: ribosomal RNA, 317 nt
Filed under: uncultured bacterium
Lineage: Bacteria
Description: bacterial SSU rRNA
Rfam family: Bacterial small subunit ribosomal RNA
Source: RNAcentral
AUUGAACGCUGGCGGCAUGCCUUACACAUGCAAGUCGAACGGCAGCACGGGAGCAAUCCUGGUGGCGAGUGGCGAACGGGUGAGUAAUAUAUCGGAACGUGCCCAGUCGUGGGGAUAACGUAGCGAAAGCUACGCUAAUACCGCAUACGAUCUAUGGAUGAAAGCGGGGGGAUCGCAAGACCUCGCGCGAUUGGGAGCGGCCGAUAUCAGAUUAGGUAGUUGGUGAGGUAAGGCUCACCAAGCCGACGAUCUGUAGCUGGUCUGAGAGGACGACCAGCCACACUGGGACUGAGACACGGCCCAGACUCCGUACGGGA